Molecule: transfer RNA, 89 nt
Filed under: Hydrogenophaga sp.
Lineage: Bacteria; Pseudomonadati; Pseudomonadota; Betaproteobacteria; Burkholderiales; Comamonadaceae
Description: tRNA-Leu
Rfam family: tRNA
About the family: Transfer RNA (tRNA) molecules are approximately 80 nucleotides in length.
Source: RNAcentral
GCCUCGAUGGUGAAACUGGUAAACACAGGGGACUUAAAAUCCCCCGUCGUGAAAGCGACUUGGCGGUUCGAGUCCGCCUCGAGGCACCA